Molecule: ribosomal RNA, 350 nt
Filed under: uncultured Corynebacterium sp.
Lineage: Bacteria; Bacillati; Actinomycetota; Actinomycetes; Mycobacteriales; Corynebacteriaceae
Description: bacterial SSU rRNA
Rfam family: Bacterial small subunit ribosomal RNA
Source: RNAcentral
GUAGUCCAUGCCGUAAACGGUGGGCGCUAGGUGUGAGGGUCUUUUCACGACUUUCGUGCCGUAGCUAACGCAUUAAGCGCCCCGCCUGGGGAGUACGGCCGCAAGGCUAAAACUCAAAGGAAUUGACGGGGGCCCGCACAAGCGGCGGAGCAUGUGGAUUAAUUCGAUGCAACGCGAAGAACCUUACCUGGGCUUGACAUACACCGGAUCGGGCUAGAGAUAGUCUUUCCCUUUGUGGCUGGUGUACAGGUGGUGCAUGGUUGUCGUCAGCUCGUGUCGUGAGAUGUUGGGUUAAGUCCCGCAACGAGCGCAACCCUUGUCUUAUGUUGCCAGCAUUUGGUUGGGGACUC